Vicia faba (fava bean) is the source of this 552-nucleotide non-coding RNA. The record is from the annotation of a GenBank genome assembly. NCBI's taxonomy places the organism in Eukaryota, Viridiplantae, Streptophyta, Magnoliopsida, Fabales, Fabaceae.
UCACUAGCAAGUUCAUGUUCAAUUCUUUCUCCUCAUAAAACUCUUCAACGCAUUCGCCUUUCGAUUUUCCCCUACAACCACGCGUGUAAGUUUCCCAAACCCACAGCGAACGUAACCGUUUCCCAUCAAUUUUCCCCUUUCGAUUUUCCCGGCCACACCACCGCCGUCAUCGCCGCUUCAUCCACCGACGACAGCGGCAUCCCGUCUCAAGAUCUCGCAGUUCUCCUCGAAGUCGAUGGGGUUCUUGUGGAUGCAUACCGUGGGAAUCGCAUAGCCUUCAAUAAAGCAUUUGAGAAACUUGGACUUGAUUGUGCGAGCUGGAGCGAACCUGUCUAUUCAGAUCUUUUAAGUCAUGACAAUAUUCUCAUGGAUGCUUCUCUUGGGGAUGAAACCAGUUUGAUAAGGAGAAACCAUGUCAUCAAUACCUAUCUUGUGCCUAUUGACCACAAUCUUACUAAUAAUCUUGUAAAUGGUAUUGCUGAUAAGAUCUUUGACAUACUGCAUCUUUCCAUUACUGAAUUGAUGACACAAAUUUGUAAGGUUGGCCACUAA